AUGUGGGAAAGGCUAAAUCAAGUUGGCUCUGCCACAGCUGCUUCGACGUUCCUGAUUAUCCUCAUGCUUUGGACAUUCCUACUGGCAGUUGAGCGAUUGAGUAAGUCACAAAAAAACGUAUUCUCUGUGUUUAUCAUCUUAUGGUUUGUACAAUCGAUUAAGGGACAGGCCACUAUUUGUUUGUCCUCAGAAAAGGAGCCCAAAUACUGUCUCGGGCCUGAUGGCCUGCACUCUGGAUCAGGUCUGGUGACGUUAGUCCCCCAGACCUCGUCUGCUGUCUCUGCCGGCUCCUAACACCCUGCGGCCACACACCCACCACAGCUCCACACACAGCUGAUGGCUCCUCUUCUUCCUCCUCUUCUUCCCCCAACUCCUCCCAGGUGUUUUGGCUCACACUAAUUCGCUGUAUGAACACCUUGACCUCAACCCCAGUC
RNAcentral lists this long non-coding RNA (434 nucleotides) under Gadus morhua (Atlantic cod). RNAcentral describes it as "lncRNA (ENSGMOG00000035044.1)". The record is from RNAcentral. Lineage: Eukaryota; Metazoa; Chordata; Actinopteri; Gadiformes; Gadidae.